This 791-nucleotide ribosomal RNA is filed under the name uncultured Bacteroidota bacterium. Its description in RNAcentral is "bacterial SSU rRNA". It matches the Rfam family "Bacterial small subunit ribosomal RNA", at positions 1 to 799 of the family's 1533-position model. The record is from RNAcentral. Lineage: Bacteria; Pseudomonadati; Bacteroidota.
AGGAGAGUUUGAUCCUGGCUCAGGAUGAACGCUAGCGGCAGGCUUAACACAUGCAAGUCGAGGGGCAGCGGGUGUAGCAAUACAUGCCGGCGACCGGCGCAAGGGUGCGUAACGCGUGAGCAAUCUGCCCGUAUCAGGGGGAUAAGCGAUGGAAACGUCGUCUAAUACCGCAUAACACCAAUGAUGGCAUCAUCGAUGGUUGAAAGCUUCGGUGGAUACGGAUGAGCUCGCGAGACAUUAGUUAGUUGGCGGGGUAACGGCCCACCAAGACCGCGAUGUCUAGGGGAACUGAGAGGUUGGUCCCCCACACUGGAACUGAGACACGGUCCAGACUCCUACGGGAGGCAGCAGUGAGGAAUAUUGGACAAUGGCCGGAAGGCUGAUCCAGCCAUGCCGCGUGAAGGAAUAAGGUCCUAUGGAUUGUAAACUUCUUUUGUACGAUACUGUCACGAGUGACACGAUGAGAGUAUCGUACGAAUAAGCAUCGGCUAACUCCGUGCCAGCAGCCGCGGUAAUACGGAGGAUGCGAGCGUUAUCCGGAUUUAUUGGGUUUAAAGGGUGCGUAGGCGGGAUUUUAAGUCAGCGGUGAAACGCAAGGGCUCAACCCUUGACCUGCCGUUGAAACUGGAGUUCUUGAAUGCGGAUGCUGUGGGAGGAAUGUGUGGUGUAGCGGUGAAAUGCAUAGAUAUCACACAGAACACCGAUUGCGAAGGCAUCUCACAAAUCCGUGAUUGACGCUGAGGCACGAAAGUGUGGGGAUCAAACAGGAUUAGAUACCCUGGUAGUCCCCU